Molecule: unclassified non-coding RNA, 481 nt
Filed under: Hevea brasiliensis (rubber tree)
Lineage: Eukaryota; Viridiplantae; Streptophyta; Magnoliopsida; Malpighiales; Euphorbiaceae
Source: RNAcentral
GAAGGAAACAAAAUAACAUCACUAGCAUUAUUGCUCAUGCAAGAUUUCAUCCAAAGAUCAAAGUCAAGAUUACUAGAAGGCAAGAGUUCAUGUGUUAAUUAAAACACUAAAAAGCAUUAAAAACAAAAGUAACCAAACAGAGACUUUGGAUACCCAUAGAUUUAUAGAAUUGAGUUUGACUAGUACUCUGUUAUGAUUAAUAAGGAGAAUAAGGGACUGCGAUUGUAUGUGAAAGAAAUAGAAUAGUUAGGAUGGCCUGUGGUAGUUAAUUGAAAUUUGCAAAGAAGGUUGUAAUUGGCAUGAACAUUCAUGGAAAGAGCUGGUAACUAUAUAAAUAAUAGCUAUUGUAUUUGAAGAAGAUUGAUUUCUGGAAAAAUAUCAAGAGCCUAUUCAAUUUCUCUCUCAUUUUCUCUAUUCUCUUCUCCUUAAAACUCUAUUUCUAUUAUUUCUGCUAUUUGAGAUCUUGUUGUUAGGGAAUCUG